UUACAGCCCAAGUACUUCUCUCUAAGACAGCUAUUAAUCUGAGCUCCAGUUCCAAGUAUUCUUCAAAGAGUACUUGGGCAUUUCUUCAGUUCCAAGUACUCUUCAAAGAGUACUCUGGGCAUUUCUUAGGUCUGGAUGCCCCAGUGAAGGCCAUGAAAAGCAUCUGUGUGGUUCUUGCUACAUGAUCUCCUGGACAGCCUCCUAGCACCUUUUUUGCCUUCCUUUCUGGCUGUCUUCUGACCCAGGAAUGCUGCAGCUGUGACCAAGUCACAUGUCUAUUUCAAGAGUGUUACAAACGCAGGAGUUUUAUUUUAUAUUGUUUUAUGUUAUUGUUUUAAAAUUGGUACAUUUGCUGUACAUGCAAUUACAAACAUCUUGGAGACUGGGUACAGGACUCUUUGAAGAACACUCUAUUCAUUAUCAAUCCUCAUUUAAGCUUUCCUAAAAUUAAAAACAUGCCCUGAUGAAGUAAACCAUCCAAAAAGAAGGCAAAAUGAAAUGGAUGUGUUUUGAUUUCUUGUAACUAUCAUCAGUUUAUUGUGCUACUAUUCUUUGGAUAAUGAAACUGAGACACAAAGGAGCACAUAAAUUCCUCCAAAAUCAAAGUUACCCUGCCAGCAAGUGGAUGAGUUGAUAGCAUGCGGUGCUAAUCUUGAUGGCUAAACUCUUCCCCAUUAUGAUACUCUAUAGGUGUGAGUGUUGGAGAUGGAGGUGGUGGCUGUGACGAGGUACAGAUGUUCACAAACUGUUAGCAUGGUUGCUACAAGUUUCAAAUUGGCAUUUUAUAAACUGUAAUUUGAAUUGCUCCUUCAUUGAAUCUAAUAAAAAUUUUAAUUACAUUGAAUAUUUUACUUUAAGUAUUCAAAUGCUCAAGUAAAUGUACAGUACAAACCAACCAAUACUGCAUUUUAUUUUCACUAGCUAGCUCUUAGCAUGGAUGUAAACCCUAGAGUGGCAUUAGAAUGUGAGUUUGGCCUUCCUUCUGGACUUCCUAUAUCAUGUAUCUUGCCAUGACAGUAGUUCUGGGGAGCUAAAUAUUUGUGACUGUGUUUAGUUUAGAAAAUCUGUUCUUCUCGUGAAAUUACUUUGAAGCUAUAUGUUAAGGAUACACAGCAUCUGUUUCCUGUUUAUAAUUUUAGUCUUCUAACAUAUACUUAUGAGAAACAUAAUGAAGCAAAUUGAGUGUUUACGAAGUUAUUUUACUAAUAGACAUUCUGCAUGGUACAAAAUGAUCACGUCUAAAAAAUGUGUGGAUUAAAAACUAUUUCAAAUUCCAUACUUGUAAAUAAUAUAAGAAAUGUAAAAAAACAGGA
Long non-coding RNA from Chinchilla lanigera (long-tailed chinchilla), 1313 nucleotides. RefSeq lists it as uncharacterized. The record is from RefSeq and is a predicted model, not a curated record. Lineage: Eukaryota; Metazoa; Chordata; Mammalia; Rodentia; Chinchillidae. The transcript is spliced from 3 exons.